GCACUUAGGGCUUGUUUGGUUCAUCCAUUUUGGGUAUGGAAUGGGAAUCGGUUUGAUCAAAUCCGGUUAAUUUUGUUUGGUUCGCAUGAAUCGGUUUGGAAUUCCUAUUCCGGACUGGAAUGGGAAUGGCCCAUUAGCCUUCAACUUGAUUCUGGUCUUCUAGCCCGGAUUGAGAUUUCAUUCCGAAAGCCCACUAAGUCCUCGAAGCCCAUGUGACCAUCUCACCCUCCUUCUCUUCACCCCUUUCUCAUCAAAAAAAAAAAAAUCUAUCCUCUCUCAAAACCCUAUCCCUAACCCACAUGAAUAAAAGUUUUUAAAAAUAAAUUUGAUUUUUUUUUUGAAAAACUUAUUAGAGAAUAGUAUUAUAUUUUUCAUAAAUUUUAAAUAAUAUAAAUUUAUAUUUGAGAGUAAAAUUAGUAUUAUAGUAUCCUAUAAUUUUUUUAGUUUAUACGAACCAAACAAUGAAAUGUGAAUAACUCAUUCCAAUUCCGAAUCCACAAAUAAACCAAACAUCCUGGGGGAGUGGGCCAUUCCAAUUACCAUUCCAAUUCAUUCCCAUUCUAUUAUCCAUUCCAAUUCCACCCUUGAACCAAACAAGCCCUUAAAUUUAUGUGUAAAACCCAUAAACUCCAUUUUUCUUGAAAAUCGUGCAUCAAAUCUAAAAUCCGUCAGUACCAUUGGUUCCAAAAUAGCUGAACCAUUAAAAAUGAGCUAUUGGACUGCUAUGAACGAAGUCUGAUACGCGCCGGAAGCCAACUCUACACCGUGGCCUCUCCGGAAAAACGGGUUACUAUUCACUUUAAGUCAUUACUAA
Molecule: long non-coding RNA, 814 nt
Filed under: Ananas comosus (pineapple)
Lineage: Eukaryota; Viridiplantae; Streptophyta; Magnoliopsida; Poales; Bromeliaceae
Description: long non-coding RNA (ACOM_LNC008519)
Source: RNAcentral